UACAGAGGGUGCGAGCGUUGUCCGGAAUCACUGGGCGUAAAGGGCGCGUAGGUGGCGGGCCAAGUCAGUGGUGAAAGCUCGAUGCUCAACAUCGAGUCGGCCACUGAUACUGGUUUGCUUGAGCACUGUAGAGGCAGAUGGAAUUCCGGGUGUAGCGGUGGAAUGCGUAGAGAUCCGGAAGAACACCGGUGGCGAAGGCGGUCUGCUGGGCAGUUGCUGACACUGAGGCGCGAAAGCGUGGGGAGCAAACAGG
RNAcentral lists this ribosomal RNA (253 nucleotides) under uncultured bacterium. Its description in RNAcentral is "partial 16S ribosomal RNA". It matches the Rfam family "Bacterial small subunit ribosomal RNA", at positions 524 to 776 of the family's 1533-position model. The record is from RNAcentral.